AUGCCUAUGCAAGUGGGCAAUGCGACUUACAGCUUGUCCAGAAAGCCCUGGCCAUGUACAAUAAACGAAGCACGUGGCUUUCCGGGCAUGUUGGGAAGCCUUGAUUGUAUGCAUUGUGAAUGGAAAAACUGUCCCACUGCAUGGAAGGGACAGUUCACACGCGGUGAUCACGGAGUCUCCACAAUGAUGCUUGCAGCGGUGGCGUCUCAAGACUUGUGGAUAUGGCAUGCAUUUUUUGGUGUUGCUGGAUCAACCAACGACCUCAAUGUGUUGAAUCAAUCUACUUUGUUCACCAACGUCUUACAAGGCCGAGCUCCUGCAGUUCAAUUUACAGUUUGUGGAAUCGAAUAUAAUAUGGGAUAUUAUCUGGUGGACGGAAUAUACUCAGAAUGGGCUGCGUUUGUGAAAACAAUUCCACUCCCUCAGAAUGAGAGGGACAAAUGUUUUGCACGACGUCAAGAGGGGGCAAGGAAAGACGUGGAACGAGCAUUCGGAGUUCUACAAGCUCGAUUCGCCAUUCUGCGAAUCCCAGCACGGUUCUGGGAGAGAUCAUUACUUGGUAAAAUCAUGUAUGCAUGCAUCAUAAUACAUAACAUGAUAGUCGAGGACGAGAGAGAUACAUAUAGGGUCCGCUAUGACUUUAAUUCGUACGACCAAGGGUGUAAUCCAAUUCCACCAGUACAACCAGAGCAUGGACCAAUUGAUGGCUUCACCGAUCUCCUGGAUAUAAAUGCUGCUCUUCUUGACAGACGACGUCACAUCCGGCUGAAGAAAGACUUGGUGGAGCAUAUAUGGCGUCGAUUUGGAGAUGGUCAAGGGAACAAUUAG
This 828-nucleotide ribosomal RNA is filed under the name Triticum aestivum (bread wheat). RNAcentral's name for it is "partial small subunit ribosomal RNA". Lineage: Eukaryota; Viridiplantae; Streptophyta; Magnoliopsida; Poales; Poaceae. The record is from RNAcentral.